RNAcentral lists this ribosomal RNA (497 nucleotides) under uncultured bacterium. RNAcentral's name for it is "partial 16S ribosomal RNA". It matches the Rfam family "Bacterial small subunit ribosomal RNA", at positions 28 to 507 of the family's 1533-position model. The record is from RNAcentral.
GAUGAACGCUGGCGGCGUGCCUAAUACAUGCAAGUCGAGCGAACGGACGAGAAGCUUGCUUCUCUGAUGUUAGCGGCGGACGGGUGACUAACACGUGGAUAACCUACCUAUAAGACUGGGAUAACUUCGGGAAACCGGAGCUAAUACCGGAUAAUAUUUUGAACCGCAUGGUUCAAAAGUGAAAGACGGUCUUGCUGUCACUUAUAGAUGGAUCCGCGCUGCAUUAGCUAGUUGGUAAGGUAACGGCUUACCAAGGCAACGAUGCAUAGCCGACCUGAGAGGGUGAUCGGACACAAUGGAACUGAGACACGGUCCAGACUCCUACGGGAGGCAGCAGUAGGGAAUCUUCCGCAAUGGGCGAAAGCCUGACGGAGCAACGCCGCGUGAGUGAUGAAGGUCUUCGGAUCGUAAAACUCUGUUAUUAGGGAAGAACAUAUGUGUAAGUAACUGUGCACAUCUUGACGGUACCUAAUCAGAAAGCCACGGCUAACUACGUG